AAAAUACUGAGAUAGCUAUAAUUUGGGAAAAGUAGUGAAUUUAAAGUGCAGGUCUGGUACUAGACUACCUGUGUUCAAAUCCCAUCUCCAUCGUCUAUCAGCCGUGUGACACUGAGUAAGUCUCUUAACGCCUCAAUCUCAUUUUCCUCCUUUUAAAAUGAGAUCUUAUCACUUCAUAAAGUUGUAAUAUAAAAAGGGUAAUAAACGAUAAAGCUAUUUGAGGGCUUAGUACGCUCUAGGCACUAUGUUGAGCACUUUACACUCUUGUUAUCUGUCAGCACUCUGACGAAACAGCCUUCUUCACUCCUCUAUUCUCUUCCAGGCGAAACUGCAGUGCCCCGACUCGCAGACUGCGCUGAGCGACGGCUGCCCUGGGUGGCGGGGAGCCUGUUUCCAGCCGGACCGCGUCCCGGGGCACUCCGCAGCGCCGCGCCUGCGCGCUCAGCCCGUCGCCGCGCCAGCCCCGCCGACGUGCGCUCGCUGCCUCCGCGGCGCCAGGCCCCGGAGAUGCGCGCCUGCCCGGUCCGUGCCAGCUCCAGACAUCUGUGGAGUUUAAGAACAUGGAGUUCAUC
Molecule: long non-coding RNA, 572 nt
Filed under: Ailuropoda melanoleuca (giant panda)
Lineage: Eukaryota; Metazoa; Chordata; Mammalia; Carnivora; Ursidae
Description: lncRNA (ENSAMEG00000031486.1)
Source: RNAcentral